This 456-nucleotide ribosomal RNA is filed under the name uncultured bacterium. RNAcentral describes it as "bacterial SSU rRNA". It matches the Rfam family "Bacterial small subunit ribosomal RNA", at positions 340 to 786 of the family's 1533-position model. The record is from RNAcentral.
UACGGAAGGCAGCGGUGGGGAAUAUUGCACAAUGGGCGAAAGCCUGAUGCAGCUAUGCCGCGUGUAUGAAGAAGGCCUUAGGGUUGUAAAGUACUUUCAUCGGGGAGGAAAAACAAAACUAAUAAUUUUAUUUCUUGACGUUACCCGAAAAAGAAGCACCGGCUAACUCCGUGCCAGCAGCCGCGGUAAUACGGAGGGUGCUAGCGUUAAUCAGAAUUACUGGGCGUAAAGAGCACGUAGGUGGUUUUUUUAAGUCAGAUGUGAAAUCCCUGGGCUUAACCUAGGAACUGCAUUUUGAAACUGAAAUACUAGAGUAUCGUAGAGGGAGGUAGAAUUCUAGGUGUAGCGGUGAAAUGCGUAGAUAUCUGGAGGAAUACCUGUGGCGAAAGCGGCCUCCUAAACGAAUACUGACACUGAGGUGCGAAAGCGUGGGGAGCAAACAGGGAUUAGGAUACC